This 713-nucleotide long non-coding RNA is filed under the name Olea europaea (common olive). RNAcentral describes it as "long non-coding RNA (OEUR_LNC010359)". Lineage: Eukaryota; Viridiplantae; Streptophyta; Magnoliopsida; Lamiales; Oleaceae. The record is from RNAcentral.
UUACAAAUUAUUUUUUAGCCAAAGACACCUAAUAUUUAUUCACAAAUCAAUCAAAUAGUUGGUCACAAACGCCUAAAUAGUUGGUCACUGACAUCCCACCGCCUCACCACCAUCAGCUCAACCACCACGUACAUCCCUGCUACAUCCUUGCACCUUGCUCCAACAACGAGCCACCACCUCCAAUCAACCAACACACUGUCGUAUGCUAAAAUCUACCACACCACCACAGCUACCAUCCCACCAACAAAAUCAUCAAAUUCGCCACUGCAACCAAUGUCACCACCUCAAAAUCACCGCCAAUAUCACCAUCACCAACUAACAAACAUUGUCAACCAAAACACUGCACAACCCGAGCCAAAAUCAGAGUCGUAAAGCCACCACCACUCUUAUGAACACAACCACUAGAUCUACCAAAAAUCCCCAAAUUGUCGCCGCCAUAACCUCCUCAAAUUGGAAAGAGAAAGAACCCUAAACCCCCUCCACAAGCCGUUGGCGCCAAAGGAUUUCAACGUCGCGACGUUGCAUUGAUGGAUUGCAAACACCGUACGCUUCGCACGUGUUGCACAGUGCAAUUAUGUAGUCACCGAUUGUCAGAAUUUGAAUGGGUUGUCGAAGUAGAAGAGAGAGACUGGAGAGAAAAUGAGAGAGAGGAUGGAGAGAGGUAGAGGAGAGAAGAAAAAAUCGUCGACGACAAAGAGAAAGAAGGGAGAGUC